CCGGGUUCGGGGUGGCCGGAAGGGGCCAUCCUGCCCCUGAGGAAGGCCCCCAGUGAGGACUCCCUCCCCACGCGCGCUCCGCUAGGCCUCAAGGAGGCCUCACCGGCUCUCGGCUCCGGCCCCGCAGCCAAGCCUGACCCCCAGCAACCCCCGGGGACCCGGGGUCCCGCCGAACGGAGGCACCGCGACCUGCCACCCUCCCGACCAGGCCCCACCGACUGUCUUCGGAAAAAAAAUAAACCCGCUCCCGAGGACGCGGCGACGCUUAGUACAGCCAAGGAUUUUUUUCCAGGCCCCGUACGUUCCACAAAGCUCCUUGGAUUUGGAUGCUUUCCCAGUCGGGCGCCGAUUCGUCACGGCGAGGAAGGCGGAGGUGGCCAGAUCGCGAUAGGCCCGGUUCCCGCGGCGGUGAGGGGUCCGAGCGGCGGCGGCGGCGGGAGGUGCCGAGCCCUGCCCGAGGGCGUGGUGGCGAGGCCCGCGGCCUCGGCUUCCGCGCGUGAGGCCGGGAGACGCAGGAGCCGCUCCAGGGGGAGGCCGCGCGCACCUCGGGCUCCGGCCGCGGCCGCCCCCGCGGGACCCCCGGCGCCGGGUCUCCCGCUUCCCCUCGCGUCGCUGGGCGGCAGGACGAGUGUUCCCCGUGCUUCUCAGAGCGGACGACGCGGGCGCGGAGGACUCGGCCUGGAGGGAAGCAGCACGGGCUUUGGCUGGCCACAGGUUUCCGAGCGAGGGCCCUGGUGUGGCCUUGCAGCGCCGAGGGUGCCUGCUGCUGGGCUCUGCCCCAGAUCCGCCUUCGCCGGCUGCGUAGACUCCUGUGCCGUUUGGGAUGCAGCUCAGCCGUGCCCUCGGGAGGCCCUCUUGCAGUGCCCCCCCCCCCCCAACAAUCCUUCCCUUGUACCCCCAGGCCUUUCCAUCUGGCCCUUAGGAAGGUGUGUCAGCUUUGCAGUGCCGGUCACCGCUGAAGGUCUGGAGCCCAGCUCGAUGCCCGUGACAUGGGCACCGCGGCAGCCCUCUGGCCUGCUCCAGCCAGGGCCCUUACCCCCCAAGUCAUUGGGGCUCUUUGCUCACCGUCUGGAGUGA
Molecule: long non-coding RNA, 1077 nt
Filed under: Oryctolagus cuniculus (rabbit)
Lineage: Eukaryota; Metazoa; Chordata; Mammalia; Lagomorpha; Leporidae
Description: lncRNA (ENSOCUG00000034853.1)
Source: RNAcentral